This is an RNA transcript of Diospyros lotus (date-plum), 1780 nucleotides long. RefSeq lists it as uncharacterized. The record is from RefSeq and is a predicted model, not a curated record. The transcript has 4 exons. NCBI's taxonomy places the organism in Eukaryota, Viridiplantae, Streptophyta, Magnoliopsida, Ericales, Ebenaceae.
AUGUCACAAAUCCCUAAUCCAAUUUCGCUCCUGCAAUCAGUUUCUAUCUCCCUUCUCCCUCCCGGCAUCUCCUGUCCAUCAUCUCCGGCGUCUCUCGUCCGUCCUCGCUGCCCCAGAUCGAUAAGGUGCUGCUGCUUCUGUUUCCGGCUUCCCUCGUCCGUCGUCGCUGCUUCAUUUUCCUCGCUUCGUUCGCCCUGUCUUCUCCGGCGUCACAGCGUUCCCAAUCCGGCUUCACAUCUUCGGCGUCACAGCGUCCCAUCAUCUCCGUCUUCUUUGGAGCUGCCACUGCUGCUGCUCGCCGGCAUCACAGCGUUCCCGCUCCCGCGUCAUAGCAAAUCAUAUCUGAGAGAAUUGGAAUUAACUGAAGAAGAAAUAAAGGGUUAUACUCUUAUGGAAAUAGAAAAGAUACUAAGAAGUAGUGGAAAAAGUCUCCGAGAUUUUCAAUCAAUGUCGUUUCCAUAUGCAGAACAUUUUUCCCACUAUCAAAAUAGACUUAUACAAGAUGAAUUAUGGUACAACAAAAAUGCCCUGUCCCAAUAGCACAUUAAACUGGUGUCUAAUCUGAUUGAUGAGCAACAACAUGUCUAUGACAUUGUGAUGGAUGCAGUGAGGUUGAAUAGAGAGGUGGUAUGUUUUUUGUAUUGGAUAUGGAGGAUUUGACAAGACCUUUGUGUGGAAAACUCUAUCCACAGCUCUAAGAUCAAAUGGAGAAAUCGUGUUAAAUGUAACAUCGAGUGGAAUAGCAUCUCUCUUUCUACCUGGUGGGAAUAUAAUGAUUGAAGAUCUUCUGGUGAUGGGAAAUGCUGCAAUGAUGUUAUUGAUAUCAAAGAAUUCAUGUUGAAAAGAUGUGGAAUUUCUCUCAAUUCUUUGCCUCAAAGAAUGAAGUGUUUUGGGGCUGGUUCUUUCUCAUAUUUGGCUCAAUUUUCUUUACGGGUUUCUUCUAUGCUGCUGUUAUAUCAAAGUUUCUUCCACCAUCAGAUAAUUCUCUGAUAUCUGCCAUACAAAAUGACAGGUAUUACUGCUUCCUGGUGCCCUUGACACUUCCGGUCCUUGUUGUUGCCGUAUAUUUUCAUUGGCUGAGUAUGAAAUUUUUUAAGCAUGCUUGAUAUUCUGCACGUAUUUCAUACAAUGGUCAUGAUCUACGCACACCAUUCAUUUGGUUUUAUUGAAUUUUCUGUCUUUAUUAGUAUCACCAAUGUUGCUACUCUGCCAGUGAUGUUUUUGUUGGGUUGUAUCCUUUUUUGUCUCUAUCUAUUCAAUCUGCCUCUGUGCGCCUCUUUCUGAGUAACUUACUAGGUUUUGGGGCUGGUGGUGCACCAAAACAAAACUAGAUUGCUUUCAGCUAUCUUUUGCCAAGCUAUUCCAUAUAAUGGCAUUCAUUAUUUUUGGUCUUAUUCAAGGUUCACAUGAUGAAUAUAAUGUCACAAGAAGCAGGUACCACCAGGCUACUAGCUGGCAUUUUGAAUUUAGUUUGUCUAGUAACAACUCAAGGUGCAGCUUGAUGGAGCGGAUAGGACACCCUACUUUUUGGUGGGUAUCGCUAAUGACUUCGAGUUAUAGUUCAAGUUCUACUUGUUUGUAAAGUAGUUGUAUUUGCCUUGUAAUAGGAGUUUCUUGUUCAAAGAUAUUUGAGGGACACUGGAUUCAAUUGUAUCUAUUAGCUAGGAUCUGUUUGGUGUAUGGUUAUGCUUCACUUUAGUUGGUGUAGAAAAAUAACUUGAUUGGGAAUACAAAAUAGUUUCUAUAGGCAAGAUAUUGUUUGAAAAUUAUUCUUAGAUUU